Molecule: unclassified non-coding RNA, 297 nt
Organism: Mustela putorius furo (domestic ferret)
Lineage: Eukaryota; Metazoa; Chordata; Mammalia; Carnivora; Mustelidae
Gene: 7SK
Rfam family: 7SK RNA
About the family: 7SK was discovered as an abundant small nuclear RNA in the mid-70s but a possible function has only recently been suggested. Two independent studies have found that 7SK RNA binds the CDK9/cyclin T complex (known as elongation factor P-TEFb).
Source: Ensembl
GGGUGUGAGGGUGAUCUGGCUAUGACAUCUGCCACCUCACUGAUCACCAGGGGAGAUCUGGCUGGUGAGGCGGGUGUCCCCCUGCCCUGUCCCCGCUCCAUGUGUGUCCCUCCCAAGGGCUGCUCGCUGCAUCCAGGAGGGUGAGUGUUCCCGAAAGUGGAUAGUCUUUGGUCAGGAGCAUGCCAGUGCCUGUGCUUUCCUGCCGGAGCCCCCACACAGACCGUCAGGGUCCCUUUGUGGAAAGAAAGGAGGACAGUCAAACUUGGAGCUUCUGUGCGUGGCUGUCUGCCUUUCUGA